GGGAGUGCGGCGAACAUACUGUCGCAGGAGGCUUUCGCAAAAAUGGGGAUCUCUCCAAAAUAGCUCAAAGCAGUAAAGACUCCCCUACAGGGAUUUGGUGGUGGAGUCAUUAUCCCCGAGGGCAUCGACUAGCUUCCGCUUACAUUAGGAUCUGGUAAUACACAAGUGACGGAGAUCACGCCAUUCCAAGUGGUUAACUCCCCAAUGGCCUACAACAUCAUUCUGGGAAGACCCCUACUGAACAAGAUCCAGGCUAUUGUAUCAACUUUCCACCUUGCCAUGAAGUUCCCCAUAGGUCAUGGCAUCGGAAUAGUUAGAGAAAACUAAAUGGCUACCAGACAGUGCUAUGUUACCAGCAUCCGAGGAAUGAGUACAGACGUCAUGCAACUUUCAGACCUCGAG
Molecule: long non-coding RNA, 402 nt
Filed under: Olea europaea subsp. europaea
Lineage: Eukaryota; Viridiplantae; Streptophyta; Magnoliopsida; Lamiales; Oleaceae
Source: RNAcentral